Molecule: ribosomal RNA, 377 nt
Filed under: uncultured Candidatus Latescibacter sp.
Lineage: Bacteria; Pseudomonadati; Candidatus Latescibacterota; Candidatus Latescibacteria (ex Chuvochina et al. 2023); Candidatus Latescibacterales; Candidatus Latescibacteraceae
Description: bacterial SSU rRNA
Rfam family: Bacterial small subunit ribosomal RNA
Source: RNAcentral
UAAUACGGGGGGAGCAAGCGUUGUUCGGAUUUACUGGGCGUAAAGGGCGUCUAGGCGGGUUCGUAAGUCAUGUGUGAAAACCUCCGGCUUAACCGGGGGCCUGCACGUGAUACUGCAGAUCUUGAGUACGGAAGAGGAAAGCGGAAUUCCAGGUGUAGCGGUGAAAUGCGUAGAUAUCUGGAAGAACACCGGUGGCGAAGGCGGCUUUCUGGUCCGUAACUGACGCUGAAGCGCGAAAGUGUGGGGAGCAAACAGGAUUAGAUACCCUGGUAGUCCACACUGUAAACGAUGGAUGCUAGGUGUCGGGGGUAUCGACUCCUCCGGUGCCGCAGCUAACGCAUUAAGCAUCCCGCCUGGGGAGUACGGUCGCAAGGCUG